CCUACGGGAGGCAGCAGUGAGGAAUAUUGGUCAAUGGGCGCGAGCCUGAACCAGCCAAGUAGCGUGAAGGAUGACUGCCCUACGGGUUGUAAACUUCUUUUAUAAAGGAAUAAAGUGAGGCACGUGUGCCUUUUUGUAUGUACUUUAUGAAUAAGGAUCGGCUAAAUCCGUGCCAGCAGCCGCGGUAAUACGGAGGAUCCGAGCGUUUUCCGGAUUUAUUGGGUUUAAAGGGAGCGUAGAUGGGUUGUUAAGUCAGUUGUGAAAGUUUGCGGCUCAACCGUAAAAUUGCAAUUGAUACUGGCAGCCUUGAGUACAGUUGAGGUAGGCGGAAUUCGUGGUGUAGCGGUGAAAUGCUUAGAUAUCACGAAGAACUCCGAUUGCGAAGGCAGCCUACAAAACUGCCACUGACAUUGAGGCCCGAAAGCGUGGGGAGCAAACAGGAUUAGAUACCCGUGUAGUC
RNAcentral lists this ribosomal RNA (460 nucleotides) under uncultured bacterium. RNAcentral's name for it is "partial 16S ribosomal RNA". It matches the Rfam family "Bacterial small subunit ribosomal RNA", at positions 338 to 795 of the family's 1533-position model. The record is from RNAcentral.